Molecule: ribosomal RNA, 450 nt
Filed under: uncultured bacterium
Lineage: Bacteria
Description: partial 16S ribosomal RNA
Rfam family: Bacterial small subunit ribosomal RNA
Source: RNAcentral
CCUACGGGGGGCUGCAGUGAGGAAUUUUGCGCAAUGGGGGAAACCCUGACGCAGCAACGCCGCGUGAGUGAAGAAGGCCUUCGGGUCGUAAAGCUCUGUCAAGAGGGAAGAAAGAGGGAUGCAGUAAUACUGUAUUUUUUUGACGGUACCUCUGAAGGAAGCACCGGCUAACUCCGUGCCAGCAGCCGCGGUAAUACGGGGGGUGCAAGCGUGAUUCGGAUUCGCUGGGCGGAAUUAGCAAGUCAGCGGUGAAAGCCCUGGGCUCAACCUGGGAAGUGCAUUUGAAACUAGUAGACUUGAGUAUGGGAGAGGGGAGUGGAAUUCCUGGUGUAGAGGUGAAAUUCGUAGAUAUCAGGAGGAACACCGGUGGCGAAGGCGACUUCCUGGACCAAUACUGACGCUGAGGCGCGAAGGCGUGGGGAGCAAACAGGAUUAGAUACCCCUGUAGUC